GUCCUUGUAGCUUACAACAAAGCAUGGCACUGAAGAUGCCAAGACAGUCGCACAUGUACUCAAGGACA
Molecule: transfer RNA, 68 nt
Filed under: Otis tarda (great bustard)
Lineage: Eukaryota; Metazoa; Chordata; Aves; Otidiformes; Otididae
Description: tRNA-Phe
Source: RNAcentral